UACAGAGGUCUCAAGCGUUGUUCGGAUUCAUUGGGCGUAAAGGGUGCGUAGGCGGCGCGCUAAGUCGGGUGUGAAAUUUCGGAGCUUAACUCCGAAACUGCAUUCGAUACUGGCGUGCUUGAGGACUGGAGAGGAGACUGGAAUUCAUGGUGUAGCAGUGAAAUGCGUAAAGAUCAUGAGGAAGACCAGUGGCGAAGGCGGGUCUCUGGACAGUUCCUGACACUGAGACACGAAGGCCAGGGGAGCAAACGGG
This 253-nucleotide ribosomal RNA is filed under the name uncultured bacterium. Its description in RNAcentral is "partial 16S ribosomal RNA". It matches the Rfam family "Bacterial small subunit ribosomal RNA", at positions 524 to 776 of the family's 1533-position model. The record is from RNAcentral.